RNAcentral lists this ribosomal RNA (451 nucleotides) under uncultured bacterium. Its description in RNAcentral is "partial 16S ribosomal RNA". It matches the Rfam family "Bacterial small subunit ribosomal RNA", at positions 354 to 796 of the family's 1533-position model. The record is from RNAcentral.
GUGGGGAAUAUUGGACAAUGGGGGGAACCCUGAUCCAGCCAUGCCGCGUGUGUGAAGAAGGCCUUUUGGUUGUAAAGCACUUUAAGCGAGGAGGAGGCUACCGAGAUUAAUACUCUUGGAUAGUGGACGUUACUCGCAGAAUAAGCACCGGCUAACUCUGUGCCAGCAGCCGCGGUAAUACAGAGGGUGCGAGCGUUAAUCGGAUUUACUGGGCGUAAAGCGUGCGUAGGCGGCUUUUUAAGUCGGAUGUGAAAUCCCCGAGCUUAACUUGGGAAUUGCAUUCGAUACUGGGAAGCUAGAGUAUGGGAGAGGAUGGUAGAAUUCCAGGUGUAGCGGUGAAAUGCGUAGAGAUCUGGAGGAAUACCGAUGGCGAAGGCAGCCAUCUGGCCUAAUACUGACACUGAGGUGCGAAAGCAUGGGGAGCAAACAGGAUUAGAAACCCGAGUAGUCC